UUCCGGUUGAUCCUGCCGGACCUGACUGCUAUCGGAUUGAUACUAAGCCAUGCGAGUCAUUGUAGCAAUACAAGGCAUACGGCUCAGUAACGCGUAGUCAACCUAACCUAUGGACGGGAAUAACCUCGGGAAACUGAGUAUAAUGAUCCAUAGUUCACUACGCCUGGAACGGUGAGUGGAUGAAAGCUCCGGCGGCAUAGGAUGGGACUGCGGCCUAUCAGUUUGUUGGUGAGGUAAUGGCCCACCAAGACUAUUACAGGUACGGGCUCUGAGAGGAGUAGCCCGGAGAUGGGUACUGAGACACGGACCCAGGCCCUAUGGGGCGCAGCAGGCGAGAAAACUUUGCAAUGUGCGAAAGCACGACAAGGUUAAUCCGAGUGGUUUCUGCUAAAGGAACCUUUUGUCAGUCCUAGAAACACUGAUGAAUAAGGGGUGGGCAAGUUCUGGUGUCAGCCGCCGCGGUAAAACCAGCACCUCAAGUGGUCAGGAUGAUUAUUGGGCCUAAAGCAUCCGUAGCCGGCUCUGUAAGUUUUCGGUUAAAUCUGUACGCUCAACGUACAGGCUGCCGGGAAUACUGCAAAGCUAGGGAGUGGGAGAGGUAGACGGUACUCGGUAGGAAGGGGUAAAAUCCUUUGAUCUAUUGAUGACCACCUG
RNAcentral lists this ribosomal RNA (654 nucleotides) under uncultured archaeon. RNAcentral describes it as "bacterial SSU rRNA". It matches the Rfam family "Archaeal small subunit ribosomal RNA", at positions 1 to 663 of the family's 1478-position model. The record is from RNAcentral.